This 496-nucleotide ribosomal RNA is filed under the name uncultured bacterium. RNAcentral's name for it is "partial 16S ribosomal RNA". It matches the Rfam family "Bacterial small subunit ribosomal RNA", at positions 30 to 523 of the family's 1533-position model. The record is from RNAcentral.
AUUGAACGCUGGCGGAAUGCUUUACACAUGCAAGUCGAACGGUAGAGGGGGCAACCCCUCGAGAGUGGCGAACGGGUGAGUAAUAUAUCGGAACGUGCCCAGUCGUGGGGGAUAACGUAGCGAAAGUUACGCUAAUACCGCAUACGAUCUAAGGAUGAAAGCGGGGGAUCGCAAGACCUCGCGCGAUUGGAGCGGCCGAUAUCAGAUUAGGUAGUUGGUGGGGUAAAGGCUCACCAAGCCAACGAUCGGUAGCUGGUCUGAGAGGACGACCAGCCACACUGGAACUGAGACACGGGACAGACUCCUACGGGAGGCAGCAGUGGGGAAUUUUUGACAAUGGACGCAAGUCUGAUCCAGCCAUUCCGCGUGCAGGAUGAAGGCCCUCGGGUUGUAAACUGCUUUUGUACGGAACGAAAAGGUCUCUCUUAAUACGGGGGGCUCAUGACGGUACCGUAAGAAUAAGCACCGGCUAACUACGUGCCAGCCGCCGCCGUAA